CGGCGGACGGGUGAGUAACGCGUGGGUAACCUGCCUCAUACAGGGGGAUAACAGUUGGAAACGGCUGCUAAUACCGCAUAAGCGCACAGUACCGCAUGGUACGGUGUGAAAAACUCCGGUGGUAUGAGAUGGACCCGCGUCUGAUUAGCUGGUUGGCGGGGUAACGGCCUACCAAGGCGACGAUCAGUAGCCGACCUGAGAGGGUGACCGGCCACAUUGGGACUGAGACACGGCCCAG
RNAcentral lists this ribosomal RNA (238 nucleotides) under uncultured bacterium. Its description in RNAcentral is "partial 16S ribosomal RNA". It matches the Rfam family "Bacterial small subunit ribosomal RNA", at positions 96 to 334 of the family's 1533-position model. The record is from RNAcentral.